GGGCGCACGGUGGAUGCCUUGGCACUAGGAGCCGAUGAAGGACGGGACGAACACCGAUAUGCUUCGGGGAGCUGUAAGCAAGCUUUGAUCCGGAGAUUUCCGAAUGGGGAAACCCACCACUCGUAAUGGAGUGGUAUCCAUAUCUGAAUUCAUAGGAUAUGAGAAGGCAGACCCGGGGAACUGAAACAUCUAAGUACCCGGAGGAAGAGAAAGCAAAUGCGAUUCCCUGAGUAGCGGCGAGCGAAACGGGAUUAGCCCAAACCAAGAGGCUUGCCUCUUGGGGUUGUAGGACACUCUGUACGGAGUUACAAAGGAACGAGGUAGAUGAAGAGGUCUGGAAAGGCCCGCCAUAGGAGGUAACAGCCCUGUAGUCAAAACUUCGUUCUCUCCUGAGUGGAUCCUGAGUACGGCGGAACACGUGAAAUUCCGUCGGAAUCCGGGAGGACCAUCUCCCAAGGCUAAAUACUCCCUAGUGACCGAUAGUGAACCAGUACCGUGAGGGAAAGGUGAAAAUCACCCCGGAAGGGGAGUGAAAGAGAUCCUGAAACCGUGUGCCUACAAGUAGUCAGAGCCCGUUAACGGGUGAUGGCGUGCCUUUUGUAGAAUGAACCGGCGAGUUACGAUCCCGUGCAAGGUUAAGCAGAAGAUGCGGAGCCGCAGCGAAAGCGAGUCUGAAUAGGGCGCAUGAGUACGUGGUCGUAGACCCGAAACCAGGUGAUCUACCCAUGUCCAGGGUGAAGUUCAGGUAACACUGAAUGGAGGCCCGAACCCACGCACGUUGAAAAGUGCGGGGAUGAGGUGUGGGUAGGGGUGAAAUGCCAAUCGAACCUGGAGAUAGCUGGUUCUCUCCGAAAUAGCUUUAGGGCUAGCCUCAAGGUAAGAGUCUUGGAGGUAGAGCACUGAUUGGACUAGGGGCCCCUACCGGGUUACCGAAUUCAGUCAAACUCCGAAUGCCAAUGACUUAUCCUUGGGAGUCAGACUGCGAGUGAUAAGAUCCGUAGUCGAAAGGGAAACAGCCCAGACCGCCAGCUAAGGUCCCAAAGUAUACGUUAAGUGGAAAAGGAUGUGGAGUUGCUUAGACAACCAGGAUGUUGGCUUAGAAGCAGCCACCAUUUAAAGAGUGCGUAAUAGCUCACUGGUCGAGUGACUCUGCGCCGAAAAUGUACCGGGGCUAAACGUAUCACCGAAGCUGCGGACUGUUCUUCGAACAGUGGUAGGAGAGCGUUCUAAGGGCUGUGAAGCCAGACCGGAAGGACUGGUGGAGCGCUUAGAAGUGAGAAUGCCGGUAUGAGUAGCGAAAGAGGGGUGAGAAUCCCCUCCACCGAAUGCCUAAGGUUUCCUGAGGAAGGCUCGUCCGCUCAGGGUUAGUCGGGACCUAAGCCGAGGCCGAAAGGCGUAGGCGAUGGACAACAGGUUGAUAUUCCUGUACCACCUCCUCACCAUUUGAGCAAUGGGGGGACGCAGGAGGAUAGGGUAAGCGCGGUAUUGGAUAUCCGCGUCCAAGCAGUUAGGC
RNAcentral lists this ribosomal RNA (1513 nucleotides) under Escherichia coli. Its description in RNAcentral is "partial 23S ribosomal RNA". It matches the Rfam family "Bacterial large subunit ribosomal RNA", at positions 15 to 1525 of the family's 2925-position model. Lineage: Bacteria; Pseudomonadati; Pseudomonadota; Gammaproteobacteria; Enterobacterales; Enterobacteriaceae. The record is from RNAcentral.